RNAcentral lists this ribosomal RNA (475 nucleotides) under uncultured bacterium. RNAcentral's name for it is "bacterial SSU rRNA". It matches the Rfam family "Bacterial small subunit ribosomal RNA", at positions 28 to 503 of the family's 1533-position model. The record is from RNAcentral.
GAUGAACGCUGGCGGCGUGCUUAACACAUGCAAGUCGAGCGAAGCAGUUAAGUUGAUUUCUUCGGAUUGAUUCUUAACUGACUGAGCGGCGGACGGGUGAGUAACGCGUGGGUGACCUGCCCCAUACCGGGGGAUAACAGCUGGAAACGGCUGCUAAUACCGCAUAAGCGCACAGAGCUGCAUGGCUCGGUGUGAAAAACUCCGGUGGUAUGGGAUGGGCCCGCGUCUGAUUAGGCAGUUGGCGGGGUAACGGCCCACCAAACCGACGAUCAGUAGCCGGCCUGAGAGGGCGACCGGCCACAUUGGGACUGAGACACGGCCCAAACUCCUACGGGAGGCAGCAGUGGGGAAUAUUGCACAAUGGGGGAAACCCUGAUGCAGCGACGCCGCGUGAGCGAAGAAGUAUUUCGGUAUGUAAAGCUCUAUCAGCAGGGAAGAUAAUGACGGUACCUGACUAAGAAGCCCCGGCUAACUA